Molecule: long non-coding RNA, 1492 nt
Organism: Osmia bicornis bicornis
Lineage: Eukaryota; Metazoa; Arthropoda; Insecta; Hymenoptera; Megachilidae
Exons: 4
Source: RefSeq, a predicted model, not a curated record
GCGUGAAUGCGAGAGAAGAAUUCAUACGUCGCGUCGCGUACAGGGAUGCAACCCUUAGAUAAUGGAACUGCAAAUUCACGCCGAAAUGAAUUACAUUAUACUUAAUUAUUCAGAGAGUGAUAAGCUACAUUAAAGGGAGAACGAUGUCGAAGCAAGAAGAAGGGUAAGCAAGGGAUAGAGAAACAGGGUAUUCAAACCAAGACGAGACAGCCACAUUAUCUCGCGGCACGAACGUAAACAUUGACACGAAUUUUUGCAAGCUCUCUCGCUACAUAGAGGUGGAUGAAGUAUAGAAAGGGAAUGGGUGAAGAAGGGGUGGACGAGUCGAUGCAAGACGCAAGCAAAGGCUGCGUGUCGACUUGGAUUUCGAUGGGGGCAAACAGCCGCAAGAUGUUUGCCAGAGUCGAGCAACUGUUUGUAGCAACAACGGUUGUUUAAGUUUCCCUAAUACACGGGUCAGUACGUGCAACAAUGCUGCAAAACAACGUUGCAAGUGCGUAAUCCGGCUUACGCGAUCCAGGCGUCCAGAGCGGGGGCGAUCAGGAGGAGAGGCCGUCACCGGCAUUUAAGGUGGGAAUUAAGGUCCCGAACCCUCCCAGCAACGUCAGUGAAGGUCAGUGAAGGGUUGGUUUUAGUGGGUAGCGUUUCUUCUCAAGGCACAGAUUGAAAACCCCUUGAAAACAAAGGCAUGUCUAGUCUUGUUGAAUCUGUAGUCACUGUUCAUGGUGAAAUACUCAUCGAUCCGAUCGCAGUUGGAUUGCCAAACCACUGACUGCAAUGCAGCCGUCCGUCGACAACCGGUAGUCGCGCGUCGUUCAUACCGUGCUCGCUCACACCACCAUGGGAAAUUUAAUUUCCCAGGCUACAGUUCUCGGAUACACAACCACCCACGGUUAUGACCUCUCCCCUACGUCCUACUUCCCUCACCCUAUCCACACUCGAAAACUGCACAACGGCUGCUGUCAUUUGACAUUCCAACUUUUUUUAUUUAUUGAAAAAUAUUUUAUUAAAUAAUAUCGUUUACAUAGUUGUACUAAUCGUAAGUAGAAUAUAGUUGCCUAAACUAAUUAUACAAAAGAGCUUGUAUGAUGUGUGCCGUUAUCUGUGUCCGUUCGCAACUCCAAAACUCGUAGAAGCGUGUGAAAAUACCGUCAUAAAUGAAAUAUUUUCGAAAUUCGAUCCCACUUCCAUCUAUACAAGGGUGGGCGAAGCUACUUGACGACUUACCCACCGACUUUCCAAAACAGCCAGUGACUACAGAUAGUAGAGGACUGGAUAUGCCUUUGUUCUCAAAGGGUCGUAAAUUUCUGCCAUGAGAACGAACGCCAUCUGCUUUAUCCUAGUAUAAAAAUCAGAAAUACUUCGUACUACAACAGUACAACACACUUUGAUGGUAACAACAGAUUGCUGCGAUAUCAAAAACUAUACCCCAUUGUUCAUUUAAUUUGCUGUAUUUGUUUUCUUAGCUUAUUGAAUAAACUCAUUAGAAGGA